Molecule: long non-coding RNA, 202 nt
Filed under: Lathyrus oleraceus (garden pea)
Lineage: Eukaryota; Viridiplantae; Streptophyta; Magnoliopsida; Fabales; Fabaceae
Description: Pisum sativum (pea) long non-coding RNA (PSAT_LNC003634)
Source: RNAcentral
CUAAGCCGUUGAUGAGAACCAAGAAAAUUCCGACUAGAAUCAAGUAGAAGAUAUAAACCCCACAGAAAUGGAUAAACAUGUGUGAAUGAUUAUGAAUGCAAAAUGAUGUGAUGCAAAAUGAUGUGAAUGCAGUGCAGUGGCAUGGGAAUCAGGAUCGCUGUAUUUGCUUGAACAUCUGUCAGGUUGCACUGUCUGGAGAGAA